RNAcentral lists this ribosomal RNA (423 nucleotides) under uncultured Ruminococcus sp. RNAcentral's name for it is "bacterial SSU rRNA". It matches the Rfam family "Bacterial small subunit ribosomal RNA", at positions 355 to 794 of the family's 1533-position model. Lineage: Bacteria; Bacillati; Bacillota; Clostridia; Eubacteriales; Oscillospiraceae. The record is from RNAcentral.
UGGGGGAUAUUGGACAAUGGGGGGAAACCCUGAUCCAGCGAUGCCGCGUGAGGGAAGAAGGUUUUCGGAUUGUAAACCUCUGUGGACAGGGACGAUAAUGACGGUACCUGUUUAGAAAGCCACGGCUAACUACGUGCCAGCAGCCGCGGUAAUACGUAGGUGGCGAGCGUUGUCCGGAAUUACUGGGUGUAAAGGGAGCGUAGGCGGGAUCGCAAGUCAGAUGUGAAAACUAUGGGCUUAACCCAUAAACUGCAUUUGAAACUGUGGUUCUUGAGUGAAGUAGAGGUAAGCGGAAUUCCUAGUGUAGCGGUGAAAUGCGUAGAUAUUAGGAGGAACAUCAGUGGCGAAGGCGGCUUACUGGGCUUUAACUGACGCUGAGGCUCGAAAGCGUGGGGAGCAAACAGGAUUAGAUACCCUGGUAGU